RNAcentral lists this ribosomal RNA (466 nucleotides) under uncultured bacterium. RNAcentral describes it as "partial 16S ribosomal RNA". It matches the Rfam family "Bacterial small subunit ribosomal RNA", at positions 28 to 522 of the family's 1533-position model. The record is from RNAcentral.
GAUGGAUGCUGGCGGCGUGCCUAACACAUGCAAGUCGAGCGGUAACAGAUCUAGCUUGCUAGAUGCUGACGAGCGGCGGACGGCUGAGUAACGCGUGGGAACAUACCCCAAAGUGAGGGAUAACCGCCCGAAAGGGUGGCUAAUACCGCAUAUGGUCUUCGGAUUAAAGGAUUUAUCCGCUUUGGGAAUGGCCUGCGUACGAUUAGAUAGUUGGUGAGGUAAUGGAUUACCAAGUCUACGAUCGUUAACUGGUUUGAGAGGAUGAUCAGUAAGACUGGGACUGAGACACGGUCCAGACUCCUACGGGAGGCAGCAGUGAGGAAUCUUCCACAAUGGGCGAAAGCCUGAUGGAGCAACGCCGCGUGCAGGAUGAAGGCCUUCGGGUUGUAAACUGCUUUUAUAAGUGAAGAAUAUGACGGUAACUUAUGAAUAAGCACCGGCUAACUACGUGCCAGCCGCCGCCGUA